Molecule: ribosomal RNA, 660 nt
Filed under: Klebsiella pneumoniae
Lineage: Bacteria; Pseudomonadati; Pseudomonadota; Gammaproteobacteria; Enterobacterales; Enterobacteriaceae
Description: bacterial SSU rRNA
Rfam family: Bacterial small subunit ribosomal RNA
Source: RNAcentral
CGGUAGCACAGAGAGCUUGCUCUCGGGUGACGAGCGGCGGACGGGUGAGUAAUGUCUGGGAAACUGCCUGAUGGAGGGGGAUAACUACUGGAAACGGUAGCUAAUACCGCAUAACGUCGCAAGACCAAAGUGGGGGACCUUCGGGCCUCAUGCCAUCAGAUGUGCCCAGAUGGGAUUAGCUAGUAGGUGGGGUAACGGCUCACCUAGGCGACGAUCCCUAGCUGGUCUGAGAGGAUGACCAGCCACACUGGAACUGAGACACGGUCCAGACUCCUACGGGAGGCAGCAGUGGGGAAUAUUGCACAAUGGGCGCAAGCCUGAUGCAGCCAUGCCGCGUGUGUGAAGAAGGCCUUCGGGUUGUAAAGCACUUUCAGCGGGGAGGAAGGCGGUGAGGUUAAUAACCUUGUCGAUUGACGUUACCCGCAGAAGAAGCACCGGCUAACUCCGUGCCAGCAGCCGCGGUAAUACGGAGGGUGCAAGCGUUAAUCGGAAUUACUGGGCGUAAAGCGCACGCAGGCGGUCUGUCAAGUCGGAUGUGAAAUCCCCGGGCUCAACCUGGGAACUGCAUUCGAAACUGGCAGGCUAGAGUCUUGUAGAGGGGGGUAGAAUUCCAGGUGUAGCGGUGAAAUGCGUAGAGAUCUGGAGGAAUACCGGUGGCGA